AAUCCAUAGGUUAAUGAGGCGAACCGGGGGAACUGAAACAUCUAAGUACCCCGAGGAAAAGAAAUCAACCGAGAUUCCCCCAGUAGCGGCGAGCGAACGGGGAGGAGCCCAGAGCCUGAAUCAGCAUGUGUGUUAGUGGAAGCGUCUGGAAAGGCGCGCGAUACAGGGUGACAGCCCCGUACACAAAAGCGCAUGUGCUGUGAGCUCGAUGAGUAGGGCGGGACACGUGGUAUCCUGUCUGAAUAUGGGGGGACCAUCCUCCAAGGCUAAAUACUCCUGACUGACCGAUAGUGAACCAGUACCGUGAGGGAAAGGCGAAAAGAACCCCGGCGAGGGGAGUGAAAAAGAACCUGAAACCGUGUACGUACAAGCAGUGGGAGCACCCUUUGGGGUGUGACUGCGUACCUUUUGUAUAAUGGGUCAGCGACUUAUAUUCUGUAGCAAGGUUAACCGAAUAGGGGAGCCGGAGGGAAACCGAGUCUUAAUUGGGCGUUAAGUUGCAGGGUAUAGACCCGAAACCCGGUGAUCUAGCCAUGGGCAGGUUGAAGGUUGGGUAACACUAACUGGAGGACCGAACCGACUAAUGUUGAAAAAUUAGCGGAUGACCUGUGGCUGGGGGUGAAAGGCCAAUCAAACCGGGAGAUAGCUGGUUCUCCCCGAAAGCUAUUUAGGUAGCGCCUCGUGAAUUCAUCUCCGGGGGUAGAGCACUGUUUCGGCUAGGGGGCCAUCCCGGCUUACCAACCCGAUGCAAACUGCGAAUACCGGAGAAUGUUAUCACGGGAGACACACGGCGGGUGCUAACGUCCGUCGUGAAGAGGGAAACAACCCAGACCGCCAGCUAAGGUCCCAAAGUCAUGGUUAAGUGGGAAACGAUGUGGGAAGGCCCAGACAGCCAGGAUGUUGGCUUAGAAGCAGCCAUCAUUUAAAGAAAGCGUAAUAGCUCACUGGUCGAGUCGGCCUGCGCGGAAGAUGUAACGGGGCUAAACCAUGCACCGAAGCUGCGGCAGCGACGUUUAUGCGUUGUUGGGUAGGGGAGCGUUC
RNAcentral lists this ribosomal RNA (1041 nucleotides) under Salmonella enterica subsp. enterica serovar Bovismorbificans. RNAcentral's name for it is "partial 23S ribosomal RNA". It matches the Rfam family "Bacterial large subunit ribosomal RNA", at positions 161 to 1241 of the family's 2925-position model. Lineage: Bacteria; Pseudomonadati; Pseudomonadota; Gammaproteobacteria; Enterobacterales; Enterobacteriaceae. The record is from RNAcentral.